RNAcentral lists this unclassified non-coding RNA (292 nucleotides) under uncultured Lysobacteraceae bacterium. RNAcentral's name for it is "uncultured Xanthomonadaceae bacterium contains 16S-23S intergenic spacer region". It matches the Rfam family "Bacterial small subunit ribosomal RNA", at positions 778 to 1054 of the family's 1533-position model. The record is from RNAcentral. Lineage: Bacteria; Pseudomonadati; Pseudomonadota; Gammaproteobacteria; Lysobacterales; Lysobacteraceae.
UCCGAGUUGACCCCGGCAGUCUCCUGGUAGUCCACGCCCUAAACGAUGCCAACUGGACGUUGGGCUCACUUCGGAGCUCAGUGUCGAAGCUAACGCGUUAAGUUGGCCGCCUGGGGAGUACGGUCGCAAGACUGAAACUCAAAGGAAUUGACGGGGGCCCGCACAAGCGGUGGAGUAUGUGGUUUAAUUCGAUGCAACGCGAAGAACCUUACCUGGCCUUGACAUCCACGGAACCCUUGAGAGAUCGAGGGGUGCCUUCGGGAACCGUGAGACAGGUGCUGCAUGGCUGUCG